CAAUUUAUUUCUAUUCCGUUAUAUUUGGGGUUUUCCCUUAUCUAUUUCUAUCUUUAGUAACUGUGGUUUGUAGAACAAGUUGUAAAACAAGUUUGAAGAACUGGUUGGAUAGUAUCUAUAUAUAAGUCUUUAGUGAGUACUGCACGAGCAUUUCAUAGGCGGGAAUACGGGUGGGGUAUAUAAGUCCGAUACUUGGAUAAUUUGUAUCGAGGUUCUCACAGUAACUUCAAAGUAACAACACGUUCUGCAUAGUAUAUUAUUUUUAUUUAUUUAUAAUGAUUUAGUUUGGAAUAGCUAGAUGUGUAUUUGCUGGGAUAUAUUUGUAAUGUCUUAUUAUCAUAAUUAAAUGUUGUAUCGCACAGAAAAUAAGAAGUUACUGCGAGCAAACCAAACCUACAUUUUGACUUGCCUCUUAUUUCGCCAUGUAGAUAGAUUAGAAAUGUUUUAAAUUCGGACGAAUUUAUGAGGGAGAAUUUAAAA
RNAcentral lists this long non-coding RNA (480 nucleotides) under Mytilus galloprovincialis (Mediterranean mussel). The record is from RNAcentral. Lineage: Eukaryota; Metazoa; Mollusca; Bivalvia; Mytilida; Mytilidae.